GAUGAACGCUGGCGGCGUGCUUAACACAUGCAAGUCGAACGGAAAGGCCCAAGCUUGCUUGGGUACUCGAGUGGCGAACGGGUGAGUAACACGUGGGUGAUCUGCCCUGCACUUCGGGAUAAGCCUGGGAAACUGGGUCUAAUACCGGAUAGGACCACUUCUUGGAUGUUGUGGUGGAAAGUUUUCUCGGUGUGGGAUGAGCUCGCGGCCUAUCAGCUUGUUGGUGGGGUAAUGGCCUACCAAGGCGUCGACGGGUAGCCGGCCUGAGAGGGUGUACGGCCACAUUGGGACUGAGAUACGGCCCAGACUCCGACGGGAGGCAGCAGGGGGGAAUAUUGCACAAUGGGCGCAAGCCUGAUGCAGCGACGCCGCGUGGGGGAUGACGGCCUUCGGGUUGUAAACUCCUUUCGCUAGGGACGAAGCGUUUUUGUGACGGUACCUGGAGAAGAAGCACCGGCUAACUACGUG
RNAcentral lists this ribosomal RNA (468 nucleotides) under uncultured bacterium. RNAcentral's name for it is "partial 16S ribosomal RNA". It matches the Rfam family "Bacterial small subunit ribosomal RNA", at positions 28 to 507 of the family's 1533-position model. The record is from RNAcentral.